UUGGAGUCGGGAUAGGGAAAAGAAAGAAAGGAAAAAGGAGAAAAAGAGAGAUCUUGAAAAAAAAAAAGCGCGGAGAGAAGAGCAGAAAGAGAGGGAGAUUGGAGGCAAGACUGCCCAGGUACGUUUCUGGUUACUUUUGGUGUUCUUAUUCAUACUCGAUUCCUCCAUUUGAUGAUUUCUGAAUAUUCAAUAUAUUAUUGGUUGGUGUGGACGGAAAGGGCCACAAAUUGCUGUGUUGAAAUUAGAUCUUUGUCUGUUUGAUAUGUUCAUCAUUCUGUUAAUGUCAUCGAUCCCGCCUGAAAAUAAAUUGCA
RNAcentral lists this long non-coding RNA (312 nucleotides) under Vitis vinifera (wine grape). Its description in RNAcentral is "long non-coding RNA (VVIN_LNC000498)". Lineage: Eukaryota; Viridiplantae; Streptophyta; Magnoliopsida; Vitales; Vitaceae. The record is from RNAcentral.